This 255-nucleotide ribosomal RNA is filed under the name uncultured bacterium. Its description in RNAcentral is "partial 16S ribosomal RNA". It matches the Rfam family "Bacterial small subunit ribosomal RNA", at positions 99 to 354 of the family's 1533-position model. The record is from RNAcentral.
CGGACGGGUGAGUAACGCGUGGGUAACCUGCCUUACACAGGGGGAUAACACUUAGAAAUAGGUGCUAAUACCGCAUAAGCGCACAGCUUCGCAUGAAGCAGUGUGAAAAACUCCGGUGGUAUACGAUGGAUCCGCGUCUGAUUAGCUGGUUGGCGGGGUAACAGCCCACCAAGGCGACGAUCAGUAGCCGGCCUGAGAGGGUGAACGGCCACAUUGGGACUGAGACACGGCCCAAACUCCUACGGAAGGCAGCAG